UUGGUUAGACUCAAGAGCAGGUUAAAUGGCAGGACAAGUUCAGAACAGACAGCAGAAAUCAGAAAUAAGUAUGCAGGUCAGGGAUCAAGAACCAGGGUAGUCAGAAAAUGACAGACAAGGAUCAGCAACAGAAGAGACAAUCCUGAAAUCGACACAUGGUAUACACCAAAUAGGAGCAAAUCACUUUACAAGUCUCAGCAACCUUUUAGGAAUAUUUUGCAUGAACCAGAACCUGUGCGGGCAUGUGUGCAUGGGUGGAACAGAGGAAACAGAACUUAAUCCUGGCUGCAUUAGUGGGUAACAACUUAUCUUUUAUUUCCAAAAGACAAACCAUUUCUUCUACAAUCCUAAGUGCAUCCAGCAAAGAAACUCUACAAGAUGACCCUGCAGAGUUGGAUUUGCCAUAACUGGUCACUCGACUUGAAGUCCUCUGUGUCCUGACCAUAUGGAAACUUUGUUCAUCAACAAAUGUUCAGCAAGCUGAAGAAGUCAAAUGUAAUCUUUUUUUGCGGUCAGCAGUCUUGCAAGGCUACACACAAAUACAAAAAGUUGUUGAAAAUGAGAUAAGAAUGGGUAAAAUCUUUCCUUUUAAAAAAUGUUUUAAGUCUGGUUUAAACUAAUUAAAACUCAGAUGGUUUACAUUCCCUUAUAGGCUUAAGGGACACAUUGUGCAUUUGUAGUUAAUGUAAAUAUAAAAGAAUUCUGUUUGUAUAAAAGCAGAUCACCGGCUGUGAUGUUGGGUUUGAAAAAAAAACACAAUAAAUAACAUUUAUACACAAAACAACACAAUACAUUAAAAGGAAAAAUACUGCAGAGUGCUAUACUUCAAGGCAAAAUUAAGUGCAAAUAGGUUACACGGCCAUAUAGCUUUGAAACUUUAUAAUGUUCAGAAAUCUAUUGGCCAGGCUUUACAGACUCCAUUACAAUCAAGAAUUAUAAAAUGUAUUUUUCUCUGUAAUAACUGUACCUUGUACG
Molecule: long non-coding RNA, 975 nt
Organism: Xenopus laevis (African clawed frog)
Lineage: Eukaryota; Metazoa; Chordata; Amphibia; Anura; Pipidae
Exons: 4
Source: RefSeq, a predicted model, not a curated record